This 229-nucleotide ribosomal RNA is filed under the name uncultured bacterium. RNAcentral's name for it is "partial 16S ribosomal RNA". It matches the Rfam family "Bacterial small subunit ribosomal RNA", at positions 568 to 796 of the family's 1533-position model. The record is from RNAcentral.
CGCGUAGGCGGGAUUACAAGUCUGGGGUGAAAGUUCGAGGCUCAACCUCGAAUCUGCCUUGGAAACUGUAGUUCUUGAGUUCGGUAGAGGGGUACGGAAUUCCUGGUGUAGCGGUGGAAUGCGUAGAUAUCAGGAAGAACACCGGUGGCGAAGGCGGUACCCUGGCCCGAUACUGACGCUGAGGCGCGAAAGCGUGGGGAGCGAACAGGAUUAGAUACCCUGGUAGUCC